GAUGAAGAACGCAGCGAAAUGCGAUAAGUAGUGUGAAUUGCAGAAUUCAGUGAAUCAUCGAAUCUUUGAACGCACAUUGCGCCCCUUGGUAUCCCGAGGGGCAUGCCUGUUCGAGCGUCAUUUCACCACUCAAGCCUGGCUUGGUGUUGGGCGUCUGUCCCGCUGCUUUGCGCGGACUCGCCUCAAAGGUAUUGGCAGCGAUCAUGCCAGCUUCUCGCGCAGCACAUUGCGCUUCUUGAAGUUCUGGUGGAUCAGCGUCCAUUAAGCUUACCUUCAUGACUUGACCUCGGAUCAGGUAGGGAUACCCGCUGAACUUAAGCAUAUCAAUAAGCGGAGGA
RNAcentral lists this unclassified non-coding RNA (338 nucleotides) under soil metagenome. RNAcentral's name for it is "partial contains 5.8S ribosomal RNA, internal transcribed spacer 2, and large subunit ribosomal RNA". The stretch from base 1 to 120 matches the Rfam family "5.8S ribosomal RNA", at positions 35 to 154 of the family's 154-position model. The record is from RNAcentral.